RNAcentral lists this long non-coding RNA (201 nucleotides) under Linum usitatissimum (flax). RNAcentral's name for it is "long non-coding RNA (LUSI_LNC003318)". The record is from RNAcentral. Lineage: Eukaryota; Viridiplantae; Streptophyta; Magnoliopsida; Malpighiales; Linaceae.
GGUCAGGUCCCUCGCUUCAAAUCCACCUUGUACUGUCAUUUACUGGGUGGAUUACAUGCUUCCAUGAUCCUAAAGCGGCUUCCACUUGUAGACAUGAUUCCACAUAUAAAUCCCGGUCUUUCCUUGUUAAAAUGCAAGCAAGAUAUGGCAUGUCCACAUGGAAUACCUGUAAGUUGUCAUCCCCCACAAGCACAAGUCCUA